CCCGCUGAACUUAAGCAUACCAAUAAGCGGAGGAAAAGAAACCAACAGGGAUUGCCUCAGUAACGGCGAGUGAAGCGGCAACAGCUCAAAUUUGAAAUCUGGCUCUUUCAGGGUCCGAGUUGUAAUUUGUAGAAGAUGCUUCGGGUGUGGCUCCGGUCUAAGUUCCUUGGAACAGGACGUCAUAGAGGGUGAGAAUCCCGUACGUGACUGGUUGCCUUCGCCCAUGUGAAGCUCUUUCGACGAGUCGAGUUGUUUGGGAAUGCAGCUCAAAAUGGGUGGUAGAUUCCAUCUAAAGCUAAAUACAGGCGAGAGACCGGUAGCGAACAAGUACCGUGAGGGAAAGAUGAAAAGAACUUUGGAAAGAGAGUUAAACAGUACGUGAAAUUGCUGAAAGGGAAACGCUUGAUGUCAGUCGCGUCGACCGGGGAUCAGUCUCGCUUAAUCGCUGGACGUACUUCCUGGCCGACGGGUCAGCAUCGGUUUCGACCGUCGGAAAAUGGUUCGAGGAAAGUGGCACCCCUCGGGGUGUGUUAUAGACUCGGGUCGAAUACGACGUUUGGGACCGAGGGACUCAGCACGACCUUCGGGUUCGGGGCUUAGGCUCACGUUAACGUGCUUAGGAUGCUGGCAUAAUGGCCUUAAGCGACCCGUCUUGAAACACGG
This 663-nucleotide ribosomal RNA is filed under the name uncultured fungus. RNAcentral describes it as "eukaryotic LSU rRNA". It matches the Rfam family "Eukaryotic large subunit ribosomal RNA", at positions 24 to 664 of the family's 3401-position model. The record is from RNAcentral. Lineage: Eukaryota; Fungi.